UACGUAGGGUGCAAGCAUUAAUCGGAAUUAUUGGGCGUAUAGGGCGCGUAGGCGGAUCUUUUAGUCGGAUGUGAAAUCCUGGGGCUCAACCUCAGAACUGCAUCCGAAACUGGAGAUCUAGAGGGUAGAAGGAGAAAACGGAAUUCCACAAGUAGCGGUGAAAUGCGUAGAUAUGUGGAAGAACACCUGUGGCGAAAGCGGUUUUCUAUUUUAUACCUGACGCUGAGGCGCGAAAGCAAGGGGAUCAAAC
Molecule: ribosomal RNA, 250 nt
Filed under: uncultured bacterium
Lineage: Bacteria
Description: partial 16S ribosomal RNA
Rfam family: Bacterial small subunit ribosomal RNA
Source: RNAcentral